RNAcentral lists this ribosomal RNA (899 nucleotides) under Vreelandella aquamarina. Its description in RNAcentral is "bacterial SSU rRNA". It matches the Rfam family "Bacterial small subunit ribosomal RNA", at positions 56 to 957 of the family's 1533-position model. The record is from RNAcentral. Lineage: Bacteria; Pseudomonadati; Pseudomonadota; Gammaproteobacteria; Oceanospirillales; Halomonadaceae.
UGCAGUCGAGCGGUAACAGAUCUAGCUUGCUGGAUGCUGACGAGCGGCGGACGGGUGAGUAAUGCAUAGGAAUCUGCCCGAUAGUGGGGGAUAACCUGGGGAAACCCAGGCUAAUACCGCAUACGUCCUACGGGAGAAAGGGGGCUCCGGCUCCCGCUAUGGGAUGAGCCUAUGUCGGAUUAGCUAGUUGGUGAGGUAACGGCUCACCAAGGCCACGAUCCGUAGCUGGUCUGAGAGGAUGAUCAGCCACAUCGGGACUGAGACACGGCCCGAACUCCUACGGGAGGCAGCAGUGGGGAAUAUUGGACAAUGGGCGAAAGCCUGAUCCAGCCAUGCCGCGUGUGUGAAGAAGGCCCUCGGGUUGUAAAGCACUUUCAGCGAGGAAGAACGCCUAGCGGUUAAUACCCGCUAGGAAAGACAUCACUCGCAGAAGAAGCACCGGCUAACUCCGUGCCAGCAGCCGCGGUAAUACGGAGGGUGCAAGCGUUAAUCGGAAUUACUGGGCGUAAAGCGCGCGUAGGUGGCUUGAUAAGCCGGUUGUGAAAGCCCCGGGCUCAACCUGGGAACGGCAUCCGGAACUGUCAAGCUAGAGUGCAGGAGAGGAAGGUAGAAUUCCCGGUGUAGCGGUGAAAUGCGUAGAGAUCGGGAGGAAUACCAGUGGCGAAGCGGGCUUCUGGACUGACACUGACACUGAGGUGCGAAAGCGUGGGUAGCAAACAGGAUUAGAUACCCUGGUAGUCCACGCCGUAUACGAUGUCAACCAGCCGUUGGGUGCCUAGCGCACUUUGUGGCGAACUUUACGCGAUGAGUCGACCGUCUGGGGAGUACGGCCGCAUGGUUAAAACUCAAUGAAGUUGACGGGGCCGCUCAGCGGUGGAGCAUGUGGUUUAAUUCGAUGC